RNAcentral lists this long non-coding RNA (1045 nucleotides) under Capsicum annuum. RNAcentral's name for it is "long non-coding RNA (CANN_LNC009074)". Lineage: Eukaryota; Viridiplantae; Streptophyta; Magnoliopsida; Solanales; Solanaceae. The record is from RNAcentral.
UUCCAUGCUUCACUGUUUCGCUAUUGGUGAAAAUAAAACUUUGAAACUGUACUUGUGAACAUGUAUCGUAGGUUCAACUGAUGGCUAUAUAGUUGAAUAAGAAUACAGAGAAUUGUACACACAUAAAUUCAAAUAGGUACCAUCAGUCACACUGACAAUAAUCAAGACUGCAACAAAUACAGAUAGAUCUUUGCAAUGAGCAGGUCUUUCGGUUUCUCUUGCUCCAUGGCAUCUGAUCUGUUCACUGAAAAUCAAUCAGAGAAAUCAUUUACAAACUAAUAGAGACAGCUCCUAAAUCAGCAACUGUAUGCCAGGAACGUAUAGACAACUUGUUCAUGAUACAGUAGAUAGUGCAGUUUUUCAAGCACAUGCACAAACAGUACUUUUGUUCACCGCGGUGGUGCCCAAGUGCUAUAUGAAAAUAAAUUAUAACACUAUUCAUGAAGGGCUAAAAACACCGGCGUACAACUUAUAAAGACUAUUUGCAGUCUGAGUGCAACAUAAGCACAUUGUUUUAUUACUUAUAACUGCUAUGUUUGGUAGAUCAAUGAGCCUUAUGUUUUCUAUUUAUCUAAAGUUUUUCAUGUCCCGUCAUCGUUCUACUAAUGUUCAGGCUGUCAGAAAAGAAUUUUUGAGCGGAGGGUCCUUUUGUAAAAACUUUACCCUCCUCCGAUCCCACUAGUGGAAAUUGGAACUUCACUGUGGGGGUGGGGGGGCGGGGGUAUGUUGUUGUAGAAACAGUGGAAUAAGACAUUCUGUUUAAAGAUUUCAGUGGGAGAUAAAUUUGUUUCCCAGCUUAUGAAUGGUGUAAGUUUGUCAAUAUUCCAUGCUUCACUGUUUCGCUAUUGGUGAAAAUAAAACUUUGAAACUGUACUUGUGAACAUGUAUCGUAGGUUCAACUGAUGGCUAUAUAGUUGAAUAAGAAUACAGAGAAUUGUACACACAUAAAUUCAAAUAGGUACCAUCAGUCACACUGACAAUAAUCAAGACUGCAACAAAUACAGAUAGAUCUUUGCAAUGAGCAGGUCUUUCGGUUUCUCUUGCU